CGCGUAGGCGGUUGGGUCAGUCGGAUGUGAAAGCCCCGGGCUUAACCUGGGAAUUGCAUUCGAUACUGCCCAGCUAGAGUAUGGUAGAGGGAAGCGGAAUUCCACAUGUAGCGGUGAAAUGCGUAGAUAUGUGGAGGAACACCAGUGGCGAAGGCGGCUUCCUGGACCAAUACUGACGCUGAGGUGCGAAAGCGUGGGGAGCAAACA
Molecule: ribosomal RNA, 207 nt
Filed under: uncultured bacterium
Lineage: Bacteria
Description: partial 16S ribosomal RNA
Rfam family: Bacterial small subunit ribosomal RNA
Source: RNAcentral